This 468-nucleotide ribosomal RNA is filed under the name uncultured bacterium. RNAcentral's name for it is "partial 16S ribosomal RNA". It matches the Rfam family "Bacterial small subunit ribosomal RNA", at positions 28 to 507 of the family's 1533-position model. The record is from RNAcentral.
GACGAACGCUGGCGGCGUGCUUAACACAUGCAAGUCGAACGGAAAGGCCCUGCUUUUGUGGGGUGCUCGAGUGGCGAACGGGUGAGUAACACGUGAGUAACCUGCCCUUGACUUUGGGAUAACUUCAGGAAACUGGGGCUAAUACCGGAUAGGAGCUCCUGCUGCAUGGUGGGGGUUGGAAAGUUUCGGCGGUUGGGGAUGGACUCGCGGCUUAUCAGCUGGUUGGUGGGGUAGUGGCUUACCAAGGCUUUGACGGGUAGCCGGCCUGAGAGGGUGACCGGCCACAUUGGGACUGAGAUACGGCCCAGACGCGUACGGGAGGCAGCAGUGGGGAAUAUUGCACAAUGGGCGGAAGCCUGAUGCAGCAACGCCGCGUGCGGGAUGACGGCCUUCGGGUUGUAAACCGCUUUCGCAUGUGACGAAGCGUGAGUGACGGUAAUGGGUAAAGAAGCACCGGCUAACUACGUG